CCUACGGGAGGCAGCAGUGGGGAAUUUUGGACAAUGGGGGCAACCCUGAUCCAGCAAUGCCGCGUGAGUGAAGAAGGCCUUCGGGUUGUAAAGCUCUUUUGUCAGGAAAGAAAUCGCCUUGGUUAAUACCUGGGGUGGAUGACGGUACCUGAAGAAUAAGCACCGGCUAACUACGUGCCAGCAGCCGCGGUAAUACGUAGGGUGCAAGCGUUAAUCGGAAUUACUGGGCGUAAAGCGUGCGCAGGCGGUUGUGCAAGACAGAUGUGAAAUCCCCGGGCUCAACCUGGGAACUGCAUUUGUGACUGCACGGCUAGAGUGUGUCAGAGGGGGGUAGAAUUCCACGUGUAGCAGUGAAAUGCGUAGAUAUGUGGAGGAAUACCGAUGGCGAAGGCAGCCCCCUGGGAUAACACUGACGCUCAUGCACGAAAGCGUGGGGAGCAAACAGGAUUAGAUACCCUGGUAGUCCACGCCCUAAACGAUGUCAACUAGUUGUCGGGUCUUAAUUGACUUGGUAACGCAGCUACGCGUGAGUAGACCGCCGUCGGGUAGGUACGGUCGCGAAGAAGUUAAACGUUAAAGUAAAGUUAGUACGGACGUGAGACGUAGCCGACGGACGACGACGAGGGAGGAGG
This 632-nucleotide ribosomal RNA is filed under the name uncultured bacterium. Its description in RNAcentral is "bacterial SSU rRNA". The stretch from base 1 to 540 matches the Rfam family "Bacterial small subunit ribosomal RNA", at positions 338 to 873 of the family's 1533-position model. The record is from RNAcentral.